RNAcentral lists this long non-coding RNA (14985 nucleotides) under Triticum aestivum (bread wheat). Its description in RNAcentral is "long non-coding RNA (TAES_LNC017670)". The record is from RNAcentral. Lineage: Eukaryota; Viridiplantae; Streptophyta; Magnoliopsida; Poales; Poaceae.
GACCACAAGCACCGAAGCGAGCUGAAGAUGCGCCGUCGUCAUCGCCUCUCCCUCGCGGGAGCCGAAAACAACUUGUUGUAGUAGACAGUUGGGAAGUCAUCAUGCCAAGGCCUCAUAGGACCAAUGCACCAGAACAGUAACCACCACCAAUGAAGAGAAAGUUGUUAUUUUAUAUUUCCUUAUAUCAUGAUAAAUGUUUAUUAUUCAUGCUAAAAUUGUAUUAACCGGAAACUUGAUACAUGUGUGGAUAUAUAGACAAAACACAGUGUCCCUAGUAAGCCUCUACUAGACUAGCUCGUUAAUCAAAGAUGGUCAAGUUUCCUAACCAUAGACAUGUGUUGUCAUUUGAUGAACGAGAUCACAUCAUUAGGAGAAUGAUGUGAUGGACAAGACCCAUCCGUUAGCUUAGCAUAAUGAUCGUUAAGUUUUAUUGCUAUUGCUUUCUUCAUGACUUAUACAUAUUCCUUUGACUAUGAGAUUAUGCAACUCCCGGAUACGGGAGGAAUACCUUGUGUGCUAUCAAACGUCACAACGUAACUGAGUGAUUAUAAAGAUGCUCUACAGGUAUCUCCGAAGGUGUUUGUUGGGUUGGCAUAGAUCGAGAUUAGGAUUUGUCACCGAGUAUCGGAGAGGUAUCUUUGGGCCCUCUCGGUAAUGCACAUCAUAAUAAGCCUUGCAAGCAAUGUGACUAAUGAGUUAGUUGCGAGAUGAUGUAUUAGAGAACGAGUAAAGAGACUUGCCGGUAACGAGAUUGAACUAGGUAUGAAGAUACCGAUGAUCGAAUCUCGGGCAAGUAACAUACCGAUGACAAAGGGAAUAACGUAUGUUGUCAUAAUGGUUCGACCAAUAAAGAUCUUCGUAGAAUAUGUGGGAGCCAAUUUGAGCAUCCAGGUUCCGCUAUUGGUUAUUGACCGGAGAGGAGUCUCGGUCAUGUCUACAUAGUUCUCGAACCCGCAGGGUCCGCACGCUUAACGUUCAAUGAUGAUUUGUAUUAUAUAAGUUAUGUGAUUUGGUGACCGAAUGUUGUUCGGAGUCCCGGAUGAGAUCAUGGAAAUGACGAGGAGUCUCAAAAUGGUCGAGAGGUAAAGAUUCAUAUAUAGGACGAUGAUAUUCGGACACCAGAAGUGUUCCAGGGGUACCGGGUACAUAUCGGGUCACCGGAAGGGGUUUCGGGCACCCCCCGACAAAGAUAUGGGCCUAUUGGGCCAAGAGGGGAAACGCAGCAGCCAACAUGGGCUGUUGCGCCCCCCAUGUAGGCCGAAUAGGAAGGGGAAGGAAAAGGGGGAAGAGAGAAAGGAAGGGGAGGGAUUCGGCCUCCCCCUUCCUUCUCUCCCUCUCCUCCUUCCUUCUCCCUCCGGAAAACAUGGUAAGGGGCGGGGCGAAUUGGACUAGGCCCCCAAGUAGGAUUCCUCCUACUUGGGGCGCCCUAGGGCUGUUCCCCUCCUCCUCCCACCUAUAUAUACGUGGGGAGGGGGCGCCUAGAACACACAUCAAACAUUGUUAGCCGUGUGCGGCGCCCCCCUCCACAGUUUACGCCUCCGGUCAUAUUCACGUAGUGCUUAGGCGAAGCCCUGCGUGGAUCACUUCACCAUCACCGUCACCACGCCAUCGUGCUGACGGAACUCUCCCUCGACACUUUGCUGGAUCAAGAGUUCGAGGGACGUCAUCGAGUUGAACGUGUGUAGAACUCGGAGGUGCCGUACGUUCGGUACUUGAUCGGUCGGAACAAGAAGAACUCUGACUACAUCAACCGCGUUAACAAACGUUCUGCUUUCGGUCUACGAGGGUACGUGGACACACUCUUCCCCUCUCGUUGCUAUGCAUCUCCUAGAUAGAUCUUGCGUGAGCGUAGGAUUUUUUUUCAAAAUUGCAUGCUACGUUUCCCAACAGUGGCAUCCGAGCCAGGUCUACGCGUAGAUGAUAUGCAUGAGUAGAACACAAAGAGUUGUGGGCGGUGAUAGUCAUACUGCUUACCACCAACGUCUUAUUUUGAUUCGGCGGUAUUGUUGGAUGAAGCGGCCCGGACCAACCUUACAUGACCACGUUCAUGAGAUCGGUUCCACCGACAGACAUGCAACUAGUUUUGCAUAAAGGUGGCUGGCGGGUGUCUGUUUCUCCAACUUUAGUUGAAUCGAAUUUGACUACGGCCGGUCCUUGUUGAAGGUUAAAAUAGCAAACUUGACGAAACACCAUUGUGGUUUUGAUGCGUAGGUAAGAACGAUUCUUACUAGAAACCUGUAGCAGCCACGUAAAACUUGCAACAACAAAGUAGAGGACGUCUAACUUGUUUUUGCAGGGCAUGUUGUGAUGUGAUAUGGUCAAGGCAUGAUGUGAUAUACGUUGUUGUAUGAGAUGAUCAUGUUUUGUAAAACUUAUCGGCAACUGGCAGGGGCCUUAUGGUUGUCGCUUUAUUGUACGAAAUGAAAACGCCAUAUAAUUGCUUUACUUUAUCACUAUGCGUUAGCGAUAGUUGUAGAAGCAAUAGUUGGCGAGACGACCACGACACUAUGAUGGAGAUCAAGGUGUCAAGCCGGUGACGAUGGAGAUCAUGACGGUGCUUUGGAGAUGGAGAUCAAAGGCACAAGAUGAUGAUGGCCAUAUCAUGUCACAUAUUUUGAUUGCAUGUGAUGUUUAUCUUUUAUGCAUCUUGUUUUGCUUAGUAUGGCGGUAGCAUUAUAAGAUGAUCCCUUACUUAAAUUUUCAAGGUAUAAGUGUUCUCCCUGAGUAUGCACCGUUGCGACAGUUCUUCAUGCUGAGACACCACGUGAUGAUCGGGUGUGAUAGGCUCUACGUUCACAUACAAUGGGUGCAAGACAGUUUUGCACAUGCGGAAUACUCGGGUUAAACUUGACGAGCCUAGCAUGUACAAACAUGGCCUGAGAACACUGGAGAAUGAAAGGUCGAACGUGAAUCAUAUAGUAGAUAUGAUCAACAUAGAGAUGUUCACCUUUGAUGACUACUCCAUGUCACAUGAUGAUCGGACAUGGUUUAGUUGAUUUGGAUCACGUAUCAUUUAGAUGACUUGAGGGAUGACUAUCUAAGUGGGAGUUCUUAAGUAAUUUGAUUAAUUAAACUUUAAUUUAUCAUGCACUUAGUCCUAGUAGUAUUCGCAAAUUAUGUUGUAGAUCAAUAGCUCGCGUUGUAGCUCCCCUAUGUUUUUUAUAUGUUCCUAGAGAAAACUAAGUUGAAAGAUGAUAGUAGCAAUGAUGCGGACUGGGUCCGUGAUCUGAGGAUUAUCCUCAUUGUUGCACAUAAGAAUUAUGUCCUGGAUGCAACGCUAGGUGACAGACCUAUUGCAGGAGCAGAUGCAAAUGUUAUGAACGUUUGGCAAGCUCGAUAUGAUGACUACUUGAUAGUUUAGUGCGCCAUGCUUUACGACUUAGAAUUGGGGCUUCAAAGACGUUUUGAACGCCACGGAGCAUAUGAGAUGUUCCAAGAGCUGAAAUUGGUAUUUCAAACUCAUGCCCAUGUCGAGAGGUAUGAGACCUCUGACAAGUACUUUGCCUACAAGAUGGAGGAGAAUAGCUCAGCUAGUGAGCAUGUGCUCAGAAUGUCUGGGUACUACAAUCACUUGAAUCAAGUGGGAGUUAAUCUUCCAGAUAAGAUAUUGGUUGACAAAGUUCUCUAGUCACUAUCACCAAGCUACUAGAACUUCGUGAUGAACUAUAAUAUGCAAGGGAUGACGAAAAUGAUUCCCGAGCUCUUCGCGAUGCUGAAAUCAGCGAAUGUAGAAAUCAAGAAAGAGCAUCAAGUGUUGAUGGUUAACAAGACCACUAGUUUCAAGAAAAAGGGCAAAGGAAAGGAAAGGGAACUUCAAGAAGAAUAGCAAGCAAGUUGCCACUCACGUGAAGAAGCCCAAAGCUAGACCUAAGCCUGAAACUGAGUGCUUCUACUGCAAAGGGAAUGGUCACUGUAAGCGGAACUACCCUAAAUAAUUGGCGGAUAAUAAGGAUGGCAAAGUGAACAAAAUUAUAUUUGAUAUACAUGUUAUUGAUGUGUACUUUACUAGUGUUCAUAGUAACCCCAGGGUAUUUGAUACCGGUUCAGUUGCUAAGAUUAGUAACUCGAAACAGGAGUUGCAAAAUGAACAGAGACUAGUUAAGGGCGAGGUGACGAUGUGUGUUGGAAGUGAUUUCAAGGUUGAUAAGAUCACCAUCGCACACACCCUCUACCUUCGGGAUUAGUGUUGGACCUAAAUAAAUGUUAUUUGGUGUUUGCGUUAAGCAUGAAUAUGAUUGGAUCAUGUUUAUUGUGAUACGGUUAUUCAUUUAAGUCAGAUAAUAAUUGUUGUUCUGUUUACAUGAAUAAAACCUUCUAUGGUCAUACACCCAAUGUAAAUGGUUUAUUGAAUCUCGAUCGUAGUGAUACACAUCUAUAAUACCUAAAUAGUUCAUCCCCACUACCCUAUUUCUCUUGACAUGCAAGCUAUCCACAUCAGCAUCAGUGCCACAUCAACAUUUAGUUGGAGGAUUACAUGUGGGACCAACCACACUAGAAAAUAGCCAUGUAAACAGCCAUGUUAGCUUCUGUUUCCGCGGGUAGGACCGGCGAGAGAGGCUGCCCACGCAUGUCUAUUUUCGUCUGUGGCGAUUCCCAUCGCACCCUUCCCAACAGAGCGCCUCACCAGUUCCCCGCGGCAGCGGAUUCCCCUUCCUCUUCAUCUUCUCCGAUCUCCGUCAAAUCCCACUACACAGUUACUCUUAUCGAUUCAGUUGCUCUUACAAUCUGGUAUUUCUCUCCGGACCGCUUGCGAUUUAUUAAGUUAAGCGAUGGCGAGGGCGUGCCCCCUUGCAACAAGACCCACAGGCGGUUGCCUCAGCGCUGUCUCGGCUUCCCCGACGUAGGGGCCCCCGCCCUGGAAGAAGAGCGCCUCGCAGCGGAUGCCACUGCGCUGACAUCGACCCCAUCCACUCUCGGCGAUUACCUUGCCGUCGUGUGUCGGGUGCCUCGACAGAAGGCCAGGAAGGCUCCCCUUGAGCGGCCAACCCUUCUCGUUGCCGCUCAACUUCCCCACCACGCAUCCGCGGGCUCUCGCCUGGAUGGACGCUCUUACCGACAACUCAUCCAUGGAGUGGACGUCGUGCCAGGGAGGUCUCCAGCCGGUAAACGUUUUUCUUUUCGGCCUCGAAGGGCUGGGCUGGUAGUGACAUCGGGUAGGGCCUCCAUUGAUAGCCAUGACUUGCAGGAGUGCUAGAUUGACGUCCUCCCUCCCGUAGGUGCCGCCUCGGCUGAUUCAGAGACAACAUUGACCGCGGCAAUGGUGGCCCUUCUUAGCAAGUGACAUUCUACUGCAGCAAUGGUGCCUUUUUUGUUUUGGGGCAAGCUGACCUCAUUUAUCUGCGCAGGAAGUCUGGCUCCUUUCUAUCAACGAUGGAUUUGCAAGGUUCAGUACCUGUUCUUCAGUACAUAUUUGGUAUUCUGUCUUAAAAAAUCAUUCAAAAGAGAUCGCAUGAACUGUACAGGCACACCCACUGCUUUAUGCCUUUUGCCAUCUAUAUUUAACAGGAGAUAGGAUUUUCAGCACCUGGAUGCCCCUACACCCUCAAUGGUGCGUUCUAUGAUGUCUCUUACCGAUUUACCAAUAUCGUUUUGGGGUUAUGCAUUAAAGACAGCCGCAUUCACAUUAAAUAGGGCACCAUCUAAAUCCAUUGAGAUGACACCGUAUGAACCGUGAUUUGGCAAGAAACCUAAGCUGUCGUUUCUUAAAGUUUGGGAUUGUGAUGCUUAUGUGAAAAAGUUUCAACCUAACAAGCUCGAACCCAAAUCGGAGAAGUGCGUCUUCAUAGGAUACCCAAAAGAAACUGUUGGGUACACCUUCUAUCACAGAUCCGAAGGCAAGAUCUUUGUUGCUGAGAAUGGAUCCUUUCUAGAGGAGUUUUCUCUCGAAAGAAGUGAGUAGGAGGAAAGUGGAACUUGAUGAGGUAAUUGUACCUUCUCUCGAAUUGGAAGGUAGCUCAUCACAGAAAACCGUUCCCGUGAUGCCUACACCAACUAGAGAGGAAGCUAAUGAUAAUGAUCAUGAAACUUCAGAUCAAGUUACUACCGAACCUCGUAGGUCAACCAGAGCACGUUUCGCACCAGAGUGGUACGGUAAUCCUGUUCUGGAAGUCAUGUUACUAGACCAUGACGAACCUAUGAACUAUGAGGAAGCGAUGAUGAGCCCAGAUUCUGCAAUGGCUUGAGGCCAUGAAAUCUGAGAUAGGAUCCAUGUAUGAGAACAAAAUAUGGAUUUUGGUUGACUUGCCCGGUGAUCGGCAAGCCAUUGAGAAUAAAUGGAUCUUCAAGAGGAAGACGGAUGCUGAUGGUAGUGUUACUAUCUACAAAGCUUGACUUGUCGCAAAAGGUUUUCGACAAGUUCAAAGUGUUGACUACGAUGAGAUUUUCUCACUCGUAGCGAUGCUUAAGUCUGUCCGAAUCAUGUUAGCAAUUGUCGCAUUUUAUCAAAUCUGGCAAAUGGAUGUCAAAACUGCAUUCCUUAAUGGAUUUCUUAAAAAAGAGUUGUAUAUGAUGCAACUAAAAGAUUUUGUCGAUCCUAAAGGUGCUAACAAAGUGUGCAAACUCCAGCGAUCCAUCUAUGGACUGGUGCAAGCAUCUCGGAGUUGGAAUAUACGCUUUGAUAAGUUGAUCAAAGCAUAUAGUUUUAUAUAGACUUGCGGUGAAGCCUGUAUUUACAAGAAAGUGAGUGGGAGCACUGCAUCCUUUCUGAUAAGUAUAUGUGAAUGACAUAUUGUUGAUCGAAAAUGAUGUAUAAUUUUUUUGGAAAGCAUAAAGGAGUGUUUGAAAGGAGUUUUUUUCAAAGAAAAACCUCGGUGAAGCUGCUUACAUAUUGGGCAUCAAGAUCUAUAGAGAUAGAUCAAGACGCGUGAUAAGACUUUCGAUGAGUACAUACCUUGAUAAGAUUUUGAAGGAGUUCAAAAUGGAUCAGUCAAAGGAGUUCUUGCCUGAGUUGUAAGGUAUGAAGUUGAGUAAGACUCAAAACCCGACCAUGGCAGAAGAUAGAAAGAGUAUGCAAGUCAUUCCCUAUGCCUCAGCCGUAGGUUCUAUAAUGUAUGCCAUGCUGUAUACCAGAUCUAUUGUGUACCUUGCCAUGAGUUUGGCAAGGGGAUACAAUAGUGAUCCAGGAGUAGAUCACUGGCAACGGUCAAAAUUAUCCUUAGGUACCUAAAGAGGACUAAGGAAAGGUUAUGGAAGUGACAAAGAGUUCGUCGUAAAGGGUUACGUCAAUGCAAAGCUAUGACACUAAUCUAGAUGACUCUGAGUCUCAAUCUGGAUACGUAUUGAAAGUGGGAGCAAUUAGCUAGAGUAGCUCCAUGCAUAGCAUUGUAGACAUAGAAAUUUGCGGAAUACAUACGGAUCUGUAUGUGGCAGACCCAUUGACUAAACUUCUCUCACAAGCAAAACAUGAUCACACCUUAGUACUCUUUGAGUGUUAAUCACAUGGCGAUGUGAACUAGAUUACUGACUCUAGUAAACCCUCUGGGUGUUGGUCACAUGGCGAUGUGAACUAUGGGUUAAUCACAUGGUGAUGUGAACUAUUGGUGUUAAAUCACAUGAUGAUGUGAACUAGAUUAUUGACUCUAGUGCAAGUGGGAGACUGAAGGAAAUAUGCCCUAGAGAUAAUAAUAAAGUUGUUAUUUUAUACUCCCUCCGUUCCGAAAUAAUUGUGAGUUUCUAGUGCAAUUUCCGCCGCGUUACGACAUUUCUGUCGUUUCCGAAACUACCCUCCCACUCUCUCGCUCGCUUAGCUCAGCCACUCGCUCGCUGGCUCUCGAACCCCUAGCUCACCGCCACCGGCGCCUCUCCGUCGCACGCGUUGCCGGCGCCUCUACCCCGCACGCAGCGCCUCCGCCUCUCCCUCUCGCGUCGUCGCCGCCUUUCCAUGUUGCCAUACACCGUCGCCUCUCCCUCUUCAAGAUUUCAUUUUUACUCCAGCGGCUAGAUCUGAAGCGCGGCUGCUCCACCUUCCUCAGGGUUGCGGGGAUCUCCGGCGGCUGGAUCUGAAGCGCGGCUGCUCCACCUUCCUCAGGGUGGCGGGGAUCUCCGGCUCGCUGCGCAUGGGAAGGGCCCGACCGCCGGCGGCCGCUGCGGGCAGAAUGGGAACUGCGUCGGCGACGUCGUCGGCGUCCCAGGGACAGGGCACGGCGGCACGCACUGCGGGACAGGGCACGGCGGCACGCACUGCGUGACAGGGCACGGCGACACGCACUGCCGUUGCCGCCGUCCGCCAGCGCGCCGCUGGCUGACAGGAGCAGCCACAACCACGAGGCCACGACGAGCAGGACUGUUGGCGACGGGUUGGUGCAGUCCCGCGAGGACCGCGCCGUGUGGGAUGCCGAGAUGACGUUGCCGGAGAAGGAGUCUCCGACUACCUCACGCCCACCGCUGGCCUGCACAUCAGGUAACCCACCCGCCGCUGGCCUGCACAUCACUGAAUAAAUUUCUGUAAAUUUCAGAGAUGAUGCAUGAAGUUUUGUACUCUGAAAGUUUAGGAGUACACUGGAUAAAUUUCUGUAAAUUUUUGAGUACUACUGCUUGUAGGGCGGCUUGUACGGCGUGUACUCUGGAAGUUUAGGAGUAGAUGAUGCAUGCAGCUGCUUAUGAUAAAUUUCAGUAACCAUUGUGCUCGUGUGUUCAUUGUGCCUUUGGCUUAAAAUGGUUACUACUCCUAAACUUUCAGAACAUCACCUUGCAGUGUUCAGUAAUGGAAUAAAAGUUUAGGACUAUCUGGAGUUCAUUGUGCUCGUGUGUUUAUUGUGCACUACUGCUGCUGCUUGUGCAUCUGUUUCAGGCUCUGAAUUUGCUUUUGUUCUUGUGACUGUCCGUCAGGUCGCCGAGCCCGUACGCCGGUGUGAGCAGCCUGGGUUGCCGGGUGCUCGCCGUCCGGCAGCACACCACGGUGCGACACGGGGUGGUGGAGGCCGAGGCUCACCUAGGUCGAACCAUAUGGUGGCAGUAGGAGGGGACAGAGCACCGUGUGGUGUGAGCGCCGAUUGAAAAUCACCAGCGAGUCCUACUUCAACUACGAUGCAAUGUGAGCCUCACUUGCCGUCCUCCCUCUCUUUUUCUUUUGUGAGAGCAAAAAUGCAUUUCAGUUUUGAGUUUGCUCUGCUCUGAGAGAGAGAGAGAGAGAGAGAUGGUGGCCAGCUUUAAGUUGUCCUGUGAUUUUGUUUCCACCUGAAUGUGCUAUAUGAACACUUCCUUGUUGUUUGUAUACACUGUCGAGUCAAAUUGCCUAACUUCUGAAUGUCUACAUGACCAUUCUUUGCGUCUGUCAAUGAAAAUCAAUGUUAGCAAUGUUUAGUUUUACCAAUGUGUUCUGAAAAUAAAAAUCCAUUUAGUGAGCACAUUUGCUAGGAGUACAGUGUUACACAUGCCAAUGUUCAGUUUUACCAAUGUUCAAUUUUGAGAGGGAAUACUCCAUUUAGUGAGCACAUUUGCUGGCUUGCAAUAAGAGGAUUAGCAGUAGUUCAUAUUCUUAGUAUCUUCUCUGUAGGAGUAGUUUCAGUUAACUAACUGAAACUUUCUACUCCUCUUCUGCAGGAGCAUCUUCUUGCUCUCUUCUCUCUUCUUAUCUCUUCUUUCUCUCUUCUUAUCUCUCCUCUCUUCUCUUAUCUUAUCCUCUCCUCUUCUUAGAUAAUUUUAAUUAACUGGAAAUUAAACCUUUUCUUUUAGUUAAAUCUAAUUAAACAUUUCUGUUAAUUAAACUUAAAUUGAACCUUUUCUGUUACUAAAUCAAACCUUUUGUGUUAAAAUUAAAUUAAACUUUUUCCUCUCCUCUCCUAUUCCACUCCACUCCUCUCUCUUCUAUUCCACUCCUUUCCUCUCAUAUUCCCCUCCUAGUCCUUUCCUUUAAUAGCAGCAACAACAACAAGUCCUUUUCUUUAAUUAAUUAAAACUAAAGGACUAUGGAUUAUGACACAUACUCUUCUCUAAUUCACUCCUCUCCUAUCAUAGAAUGAUCAUACAAAUGGAGUAGUAGAAAUAUACACAUACAAAUGGAGUAUGGAGUAAAAAAAUACAUGGAGUAAAAGUGCAAAAUCAAAUGGAGUAACAUUUUAAAUGGAGUUACACAUACAAGUGGAGUUAGACAUACUCCAACAUACUCCACACAAACAGCGUACUCCAACAUACUCAAAUAUGGAUUAUUACAAACAUGACAAGCAUCACUAGCAUCACAACCUCAUCGCAAGCAACUAGCAUCAUCACUAGCAUCACAAGCAUCAUCACUAGCAUCAGAGCCUCAUCACUAGCAUGAGAGACUCAUCGCAAGCAUCACAAGCAUCAUCACUAGCAUCACAGCCUCAUCGCAAGCAUCACAAGCAUCAUCACCAGCAUCACAGCCUCAUCGCAAGCNNNNNNNNNNNNNNNNNNNNNNNNNNNNNNNNNNNNNNNNNNNNNNNNNNNNNNNNNNNNNNNNNNNNNNNNNNNNNNNNNNNNNNNNNNNNNNNNNNNNNNNNNNNNNNNNNNNNNNNNNNNNNNNNNNNNNNNNNNNNNNNNNNNNNNNNNNNNNNNNNNNNNNNNNNNNNNNNNNNNNNNNNNNNNNNNNNNNNNNNNNNNNNNNNNNNNNNNNNNNNNNNNNNNNNNNNNNNNNNNNNNNNNNNNNNNNNNNNNNNNNNNNNNNNNNNNNNNNNNNNNNNNNNNNNNNNNNNNNNNNNNNNNNNNNNNNAAGCAUCAUCACUAGCAUCACAAGCAUCAUCACUGGCAUCAUAAGCAUCAUCACUAGCAUCACAGCCUCAUCACUAGCAUCACAAGCAUCACAGCCUCAUCACUAGCAUCAGUGCCUCAUCGCAAGCAUCAUCACUAGCAUCACAAGCAUCAUCACUAGCAUCACAACCUCACCGCAAGCAUCAUCACAAGCUCAUAUUCCAUUAAUGAACCCUCUCCAUUAGCCCUAAGUUGUGCAGGGCAUUUGCAUACACCUCUGGAGGGCAUGAUAAUCUUUGAGGUAGUUGCCCAAGCCCCUCAAGCUUUUCCUUGUUUACAUGGGGUAUUUUAUACCCAUUGCCCCCUGCAUGGUUCAGGAUCUCAAUCAUGCACGUCUGCAGAGUUAGGAAAAUUCUGUUGAGCUUGUAAACGUCAUAGCCUUCAAAUUCCUCCAAAACACCCUUAAUAAGGUCUUGUAGUGUUUUAGGACUCAGACAAUCUGUCAGGGAUUGGAGCGAGUUGAAAAACCCAAGGUCAAGCACAUUCAAAUCAGGACUGUUGGGAGGCUGUUGUAUUAUUCUGAUGUCAAGCCUAGUUUUUGCGUCAGCUUCUAGAAAUUCCGGGUCAUCUGGCAAGAUAUGGGGCUUAGCAUUAUCCUGCUGAAUGUAGAUGGUCUGUCCAGCAUCACCUUCGGGCCAAACAGCUUGUAUUGCUGGCAAGACCUUCUCUAUCAGGAACUCCCUCAUCACUUUUCUGUCGGCCUUUAUUGAUUUUGUCUCUAUUGUACCUCUGGGCCUGUUGUCGCUUCUCCUUUGAGCAGGAACUUCCUUCAUGAAUGGCCAGAUACCGAUUUUCCCAGAGAAGGUCACGUUUCCUUCACUGUCCCACCUCAGCCUAGCAACGGCCGUCAAGAACAUCACCUUGCCAAUACAGUUGCCAUCUAUAGGCCUCGUAGGCUCUUCCUCCCCAUCCAGCAGAUAAUAUGUUUUAUUCUUCUUUGUCAUGUUAAACCACUUUUCGUCGAUAUGGACAACAUUAUGCAUAGUCUUGAACUUAGGCCUUGCAGUUGCUGUUGUUGCCUCAUCAAGCAUCGACAAACAAAAUUUCAUCCUAUCCUUCUUAUUCUGGUCCUUUAGAGCUGGCUUCACACCGUUUGUAUGCCUCCUUAUCAAGUUUAACGUGAACUUUCUAUGAAGUGUGGUAGGGCUACAUCCCAGUUGCCAGGCAAGUGACCUAAUGCUAGACCUUUUGUUUAAUGGGAUCGUUAGGAUUUUUUCUAGGUUAAUGUCCUUAGGCUUUCUUCCAGAAUUUCCUUUUUUUAUUAGAAACAUCCACCUCUUUACCUUUGCUAAUUUGCUUUCCUCCAAAUUCUUUGUAUAUUCCAAACACCCACUCCAAAUUUUUUUGCAAUGUCUUGCUUAUCAGUUCCCAAAAAAGUGCCUCCUCUACUCAUACACAGUGUAUGCAUUGCUACAUAAGCAGCAAAUUUUUUCUGGUCAUUGAGGGUUUUAUAUUUCCUAGCAACUUGACCAACACCUGUACCAAGACAUACAACAGAGAAAUGAUUAAAUGAAAUGAUCAAGUGAUGAAGUGAUGGAAUGAUCAAGUGAUGAAAUGAUGGAAUGAUCAACUAUAACUGUACCAGGAUUUUGAACUAUUUCAUCUCCUUCCAUCCCCUCUUUUGUAUCUCCUUCCAUUUCUUCUCCUACAUGUCCUUCCAUUUCAUUUUCUGCAUCUUCAUCCAUUUCAUCCACAUCUUCUGUAGGUGGAGUGAAGUUGAGGUCUGGGAGAUCCAUUUUCUCCUGAAGAUAUGAAUAUGUAAGAUGAAGUAGAAGUACAAGUAGAAGCACAAGGUAAUCUAUCUUAUGUUAGUUAACUUGCACCCAAAUGUAAAACGUACAUGACUAUAUUAAAGAAAUAAUUGAACAUCAUUGUAUAAUGUACUUCAUGUCAUGACUAUAACCAUACAUGACUAUAUCAAACAGUUCACAGUUGAUUUGACUUCAGUGGAGACCAAUAUGGUUAGUCUGUUGUUCCAUCUAUCUACUGAGCUUGAUGUUUUCAGAUUAAAUAUCAUGUUUGUGACCUCCGGCCAUGUAUUCCCUUCGCUAGGUAUUUUUUGAUAUGGCGGAUCCACGUAUAACACCUGGCAAACUAUGCCAAGCCCUGGAAACUGUUCAGGCAAUAUUGGUAAUUUUGUUUAUGCUCAGCUUGGUCGAUGCCGUUUAAAUACUCAGCUUGGUCGAUGUCGUUCAAAGUUGAAACGGCUGUUUGUGUGACGGCAGCGCCGCUAGAGUGGCCUGUGGGUCUCUGCUGAUUUCUGGAACUGCGGUGUGGACAGUGGAUUGCACUAUACAUGCAGUGCUCUUGGCUGGGCAUUUGUUUUCACAUCGUGCUGGCUUAGAUCAGUUACUGAUGAACUAACAUGAUGUAUGGAUGCAGAUUAUUAAUGCUGCUAUUUUUGGCUUUUUGCAGUGAACAGUCGAUGCAGGGUAGAACUGCUUAAUGAUACACAUGAGUCUGAUUUUCAGGUGGCCAAAUACACACGAGUCUAAACAAGACAUGGGUCUGCUUUCCUCUUAAGCAGAGUAAGUACUCCAUUACUCCACUCGUAGAUAAACAUAUCAGCAUGAUGCAAAUUGUUGGAGUAAAAAGCAAAAUGGUACUGCAAUUUCAGUACAUUUAAUUAUUUCAAUCAUCUUCAGUGUACUCCAAGUCAGUGGUACAACAUAUCUUUGUCAGUACCCAAAUGAUCAUUUAAUUAUUUCUAGACAAUCUGAUCUCCAGGAGUAUUAGAGAAUUAGGCACUAUUCUCUUGCAGUACUCUCUUUGUCUGCAUAUCUUGAUCAACUUGAGCAUAUCAAAAAAUCACUCCUAGUACUGAUGACUACUUUAACAUAUCUAUCGUCAGGAGUAGAUCUUCAGUAUACUAGGGACUCAAAUACUGUCCCCAGUGUGUUUCUGAUGAUAGUAUGUUUGCAGUAAUCAUGACAGUAUGGUUCUGAUGACAGCAUAUUUAUGUACUCCUGGAGAUGAUAUCCUCAACAGAGAAAUGUGUGUUUGUGUUUGCAGUAUGAUCAUCAAGCUGUUUCCAGUGACAGCAGCGGAGCCUGGGGAGAGGAGAUGAACCUGGGCCUGGGGUGAGGACAGCCUGGGAUGAGGAGAGCCUGGGCAGCAGCCGAGCCUAGCUCCAGCUCGCCUCAACCUGGGCGGACUUGGAGAGGAGGAGUCCCUGGAGAUGGAGAGGAGUCCCUGGGCAUGGAGAGGAGGAGCGCCUGGGCGCCUGCGUUGGUCUGGAUGGAGGUGGAGCUAUGGCGCCUGGAGGUCUGGGGUGGAGCGCCGGCGAGGGAGCUUCUGAUCGCAGCGGGGAAGGGCGAUCAAAGAGGGGAUCUGGCUCUCGAUUGGAGCGGCGCAGGCAGCCGGCGGGGAAGGACGCCGGAGAUGCGGACGACGGAGGAGCCUGGCGAAGGGGGGGGAGGGACGGAGUCCUCCUCCGCCUGGCGAAGGGGAGGAGCGACGGAGUCCUGGCGGAGGGAAGGAGCGAUGGAGAAAGACGACGACCUGAGCGCGAUUUCAAUUCGGGGGCAGUUUUGUAAUUUCACUACUUUUCACCUGGUCGGAAAAGACCCCCCAGCGACAAUUAUUUCGGAACGGAGGGAGUAUUUCCUUAUAUCAUGAUAAAUGUUUAUUAUUCAUGCUAGAAUUGUAUUAACCGGAAACUUGAUACAUGUGUGGAUACAUAGACAAAACACAGUGUCCCUAGUAAACCUCUACUAGACUAGCUCGUUAAUCAAAGAUGGUUAAGUUUCCUAACUAUAGACAUGUCUUGUCAUUUGAUGAACGGGAUCACAUCCUUAGGAGAAUGAUGUGAUGGACAAGACUCAUCCGUUAGAUUAGCAUAAUGAUUGUUAAGUUUUAUUGCUAUUGCUUUCUUCAUGACUUAUACAUAUUCCUUUGACUAUGAGAUUAUGCAACUCCCGAAUACCGGAGGAAUACCUUGUGUGCUAUCAAACGUCAAAACGUAACUGGGUGAUUAUAAAGAUGCUCUACAGGUAUCUCCGAAGGUGUUUGUUGGGUUGGCAUAGAUCAAGAUUAGGAUUUGUCACUCCGAGUAUCGGAGAGGUAUCUCUGGGGCCUCUCGGUAAUGCACAUCAUAAUAAGCCUUGCAAGCAAUGUGACUAAUUAGUUAGUUGCGGGAUGAUGUAUUAGAGAACAAGUAAAGAGGCUUGCCAGUAACAAGAUUGAACUAGGUAUGAAGAUUGUGACGCCCUCGAUUCAAUCGUACACUAAUCAUACACACAAACGUGUACGAUCAAGAUCAGGGACUCACGGGAAGAUAUC